UAGAACUCUAUGAUGAUAGAAUCAAGAAAAAAAGCCAUGAAAACAGUAUGGUCUUUCAGGUAUGAAUUUCAAUAUCUAAUCAUUUUAUAAAGUUACGUAGUUUUUUCAUAGUAAAAACCAUGAAGAGAAAAUGGAUAAGUUAGAAAUCAGGGGUUGAGUCUGUUUCAGUACAUGAAGGAUCAAAAACUGAUAAAUCGUGACAUAGAUACGUUAAUGUAGUGAAAAGUUAAGGAAAUAUUAUGCCAUGUGAAAAGUAGUUUCAGUUGGACCAGCCAGAGAAGAGAAGAAAGGAGAAAAAAAAAAGAAGAGGUAAAGGAAGAAGCAAAGAAAAAGGAUCCAAAAGAAGAAUUGGCUGAACUUAUGAAAGCAUAUAAUCAUAUUAUAAUCAAAUGAGACAGCCAACACUCCUUAUACUAUUAUAGAACUAUUGAAGAAUCUCCUAGUGGUUGUGUUAUUGUUGAAUAAUAUUAAAC
RNAcentral lists this long non-coding RNA (473 nucleotides) under Lathyrus oleraceus (garden pea). RNAcentral describes it as "Pisum sativum (pea) long non-coding RNA (PSAT_LNC002008)". Lineage: Eukaryota; Viridiplantae; Streptophyta; Magnoliopsida; Fabales; Fabaceae. The record is from RNAcentral.